Molecule: ribosomal RNA, 463 nt
Filed under: uncultured bacterium
Lineage: Bacteria
Description: bacterial SSU rRNA
Rfam family: Bacterial small subunit ribosomal RNA
Source: RNAcentral
GAACGCUGGCGGCAGGCUUAACACAUGCAAGUCGAGCGGAAACGAUGGUAGCUUGCUACCAGGCGUCGAGCGGCGGACGGGUGAGUAAUACUUAGGAAUCUACCUAGUAGUGGGGGAUAGCACGGGGAAACUCGUAUUAAUACCGCAUACGACCUACGGGAGAAAGGGGGCAGUUUACUGCUCUCGCUAUUAGAUGAGCCUAAGUCGGAUUAGCUAGAUGGUGGGGUAAAGGCCUACCAUGGCGACGAUCUGUAGCUGGUCUGAGAGGAUGAUCAGCCACACCGGGACUGAGACACGGCCCGGACUCCUACGGGAGGCAGCAGUGGGGAAUAUUGGACAAUGGGGGAAACCCUGAUCCAGCCAUGCCGCGUGUGUGAAGAAGGCCUUUUGGUUGUAAAGCACUUUAAGCAGUGAAGAAGACUCUUCGGUUAAUACCCGGAGACGAUGACAUUAGCUGCAGAAU